UCGAUCUGAUCAAUUAGGCGGUUGCUGUCCAAAUGACUAGAUUACCCCCAUAAGAAUCCCUAUAAAUAGGAGGCAUCCUCCACUCAUUAAAGGCAGGUCAUUUGAAGUGGAAGAAUAGUCCUAGCGAAGCAGAGCUCUGCACACUUGAGUUUCGGUCCGAUUUCCCACGGAGUUCCUCGCUUGGCGCUUGCUUGCGCGUCUAAGUACUGGUCGGGUUUCACCCCCAUCACUUCUUAAAUACGGGUUUAGGACAGAAGUUAAAUUUUGUGAUUCUUAGGAUUGAUUCUUGAAAUUUCUCUUUAAAUAUUUUUUGUUGCAACUUGAGAUUUUAUUUUCAGAUUCGCAAAUUGUGCAACAUCCUCAGG
This 365-nucleotide long non-coding RNA is filed under the name Zostera marina. Its description in RNAcentral is "long non-coding RNA (ZMAR_LNC003430)". Lineage: Eukaryota; Viridiplantae; Streptophyta; Magnoliopsida; Alismatales; Zosteraceae. The record is from RNAcentral.